CCGCCCGUUCGCGCUGCCAGCAGCUUCCGCCUGCUACGGUCCUGGCAAGCACCUCGGGAUCCCAUUCCUUCACAGGGACCCUAGCCAGUUAAAGCUGAUACAUUCCUGUGGGUCAACUAUGCAACUAACUCAGAUUUUGAGCAAACAAAGCUCUCAAGUUGGUGAUCCUCAGGAGUCUCUGCAUUAGUUGGACAGCUCUUCUGGAAUUAUCUUCUAAGUCAACUGUGGGUUGGGUAGGUGGCUCUGCUGAUUUUUCGCUGGACUUCCACAUUUGGGACGAGUUGGCUGUCAUCAGCUCUAGAAAGGGUGUGGCCGUUUUACAUUGGCUGUUUUCCUCACAUUCCUCAAGCAGGUACUGUAAUAAAGAACUGGAGAAAUACAGUCAGAUGGGAAGUAGCCCUUGCUGUCAAGGAGCUUGCCAUCUAAUGGGGGAGACAGGCAAGUAAACCAAAGACUACACAGUGCAGUAUGGUAAGUGCCAUGAUUUUGAUGUGACAGGGCACAGUGGACGACCUUCCAAAUCAAAGCAAGUAACUAGGGGUUGACAAUGGUAAGUAUCAUAGUUGAAGUAUCCUUGAACAAGGUUUCAGGAAGAAGAAGAAGGGAAUUUCAUGCAGGGAAACAGCCAAAGCUCAGUGAGUCAAAAUAUCACAGCAUUCUUGGUAAGCCCAAUUGUUUUUUCUGUUUUGCUAUUUUGGUGGAGAGAAAGGAACACAUAAAGGAAUAACAUGAGAGAAGGCUAUUUGGGGAAGUGUAGUAGUUAAGGUUCUGGCUCAAACAACAACUGCAGCUCAUAAAGUUGACUUUAGUGGAAGGAUACUGGGGUAUCUCAUGGAAUCUUGGGAACUGUUGAAUAACCAGGGAAACUCUGGGAAACUCACUGGUAGGAAUCCAUAAACUGUCCUCCUGGUGGGCUGUAAACAACUCACCCUCUAUGCAUCUCACAUCAAAAUUCCAGUUUCUUGGGAAAACAAGUCUGUUUGCCCAAUUUGGGUCAUAUUUCCACGUCCAUGUUACUCAGGCAUGAUUCAUCUGCAAGUUAUGUGUAUAGAUAUUUUGCUACUGUUCCACCCUUACGCUGUGCUGGGGAGGGAGGUGUCACUGUGAGCUGUGUCGGUGCCUUAAGAGAUAUCUGUUGUGUCUUAUUACUUGGUUGCUUUUCCCCACAUGUACAAUGACAAAAAUGCCUUCAACCUAUUUGAUCCAGCCGUUCCAGUACAACUCCUAUACUUGCCAUCUUUCCAAGCCCAAAGGUACAUCCAGCUGAUGGAAGGAGCAUCUUGGUGUUAAUAUUCUUUUAGUCAUGGUCUCUGAAAGUAAAAUGUCUAUUCUUCUAAUUCUGGCACAAUCUUAUCUAGCUAUAGUUCCUCAUGGUCCUGCACUCCAUGGACUAAAUUGUAAGUAUAAUUACUACCAAUGUACUCUAUAAAUAACUUUUGGGGCCAGGGUGGCAAUAGUUGCUAGAGAGAAAAAAAAAAAAAAGGAAGGAGAAGAAAACAGUGAUAGUUCUUAUUUUAAAAGGAAAAAAAGAGGCAGGAGGCUCUCUUGAGGCCAGGAGUUUAAGACCAGCCUAGGCAGCAUUUCAAGACCCUGUCUCUACUAAAAAGUAAAAAAAAAAUUUAGUCAGGCAUGGUGGCAUGCACCUGUAGUCGUAGCUACUCAGGAGACUGAGGUGGGAGGAUUGAUUGAGCUCAGGAGUUUGAGGCUGCAGUGAGCAAUCAUCAUGCCAUUGCACUCCAGCCUGGGCAUCAGAGCAAGACCUUGUCUUUUAGGAAAAAAAGGCAGGGAAGAGGAAUAGGUAAUUUUUCAGUGUUCAGACAUUCCAGCAAUAUGUGUGGAGUACUCAUUCUCACUACAGUUUAUGAGGCCAUAGCUAGUAUGUAUGACUACCCAUCCAAGUUUCCCUGCUUACAGUUACUAUUCCAACUGAUUGGGGGGCUUUUCCUAAUAGAGUGAUUUAAGCCUUCAUUUUUAGACAUCUAAGCCCUUGGUGAUCAUCAGCAUAAAAUGUGACAAAUUAAACAAAAGCAAGACAGCACAUCAGAGAACAACUCUGAGGUGGAAUGAUUGGGAACCAAUGAAUAGUUGUUCAGUAAAUGGUUUAUAUUUUACAGAUGAUGAAACUGAAACACAAAAAAUUUAGAUUAACUCUUAGGUGACAAAGCCAGGAUUGAAGCUCAUGCGGUCUGGCUCCAGAACAACUCUUCUUCAUAGUUACGUUAUACUGCCCCUGCAUUGUUGGUAUUGAAAAAUUUCCUUUCAUCUCUGGUAAAAGUCAGCUCUCUAACUACUGCAUCUCACAGCUGAACAGAUAACUGAUACCGUGCUUCCAGAAGAUUUUUCUAACAGUGUUUGCAAGCUAUAAAAUAGUGCUUUCACUUAGAAAAGGCUAGACGUGGUGGUUCAUGCCUGUAAUCCCAGCACUUUGAGAGGCCGAGGCACCAUGCUGGGAGAUAAGGAUCCAACAUAAGACAAACAGUGCUGAUGCUUUUGGAAAGCUCAUAUUCAAGCUGGGGAGACAAACAACAUACAAGUGGCUGUAGCUACCUUCUGCAUAUGGAUAUCCAGUUUUCCCAGCACCACUUAUUAAAGAGACUGUCUUUUCUGCAGUGUAUAUUCUUGGCACCGUUGUUGAAAAUGAAUUCAUUGUAGGUGUGUGGGUUUGUUUCUGGGUUCUCUAUUCUGUUCAACUUGUCUAUGUGUCUGUUUUUAUGCCAGUACCGUGUCAUUUUAGUUACCAGAGCUCUGCAGUAUAAUUUGAAACCAGGUCAUGUGAUUCCUCCAGUUUUGUGGUAUUAGGAUAGGUUUGGCUAUUCUGAGUCUUUUGUGGUUCCAUAUAAAUUUUAGAAUUUUUUUUUUCUAUUUCUGUGAAGAAUGUCAUUGGUAUUUUGAUAGGGAUUGCGUUGAAUCUGUAGAUUGCUUUGGGUAGUAUGGACAUUUUAACAAUAUUCAUUCUUCUAAUCCAUGAACAUG
This 2973-nucleotide long non-coding RNA is filed under the name Homo sapiens (human). RNAcentral describes it as "non-protein coding CCDC18-AS1:11". Lineage: Eukaryota; Metazoa; Chordata; Mammalia; Primates; Hominidae. The record is from RNAcentral.